UCCAUGAUGGCUCAGAAGGUAAAGAAUCUGCCUACAAAGCAGGAGACCUAGGUUCAAUCCCUGGGUCAGGAA
This 72-nucleotide transfer RNA is filed under the name Ovis aries (sheep). It matches the Rfam family "tRNA". From Rfam's summary of the family: Transfer RNA (tRNA) molecules are approximately 80 nucleotides in length. Their secondary structure includes four short double-helical elements and three loops (D, anti-codon, and T loops). Lineage: Eukaryota; Metazoa; Chordata; Mammalia; Artiodactyla; Bovidae. The record is from Rfam by way of RNAcentral.